Lagenorhynchus albirostris (white-beaked dolphin) is the source of this 2445-nucleotide RNA transcript. It is a transcript of the gene named neuroplastin, with no coding region annotated. The transcript is spliced from 10 exons. Lineage: Eukaryota; Metazoa; Chordata; Mammalia; Artiodactyla; Delphinidae. The record is from RefSeq and is a predicted model, not a curated record.
CUGCCUCCCUCGCUCUCUCCCUCGAGCGCUCGCCCGCCCCCUCCCUCCCUCCCCUCCCUUCCCCGGCCCCGGCCCCGGCUCCGGCCUCGGCCCGUUCGCUGUUCGGUCUUCUGCAGGGAGAAUGUCGGGCUCGUCGCUCCCCAGCGCCCUGGCCCUCUCGCUGUUGCUGGUCUCUGGCUCCCUCCUCCCAGGGCCAGGCGCCGCUCAGAACGAGCCAAGGAUUGUCACCAGUGAAGAAGUCAUUAUUCGAGAAAGCCCUGCGCCCCCUGUCACCCUGCAGUGUAACCUCACCUCCAACUCUCACACCCUUACAUACAGCUACUGGACAAAGAAUGGGGUAGAACUGACUGCCACUCGUAAGAAUGCCAGCAACAUGGAAUACAGGAUCAAUAAACCGAGAGCUGAGGAUUCAGGCGAAUACCACUGUGUAUAUCACUUUCUCAGUGCUCCUAAAGCAAAUGCCACCAUUGAAGUAAAAGCUGCUCCUGACAUCACUGGCCAUAAACGGAGUGAGAACAAGAAUGAAGGGCAGGAUGCCAUGAUGUACUGCAAGUCAGUUGGCUACCCCCACCCAGAGUGGAUCUGGCGCAAGAAGGAGAACGGUAUGCCCAUGGAGAUUGUCAAUACCUCUGGCCGCUUCAUCAUCAUCAAUAGGGAGAAUUACACUGAGCUGAGCAUCACAAACCUGCAGAUCACAGAAGAUCCUGGCGAGUAUGAAUGUAAUGCUACCAACUCCAUUGGCUCUGCCUCCGUUGUCACCAUCCUCAGGGUACGGAGCCACCUUGCCCCACUCUGGCCCUUCCUGGGAAUUCUGGCGGAAAUCAUCAUCCUUGUGGUGAUCAUUGUUGUGUAUGAAAAGAGGAAGAGGCCAGAUGAAGUUCCUGACGAUCAUCAGGCAGAUUGAGCUUGAGGAGAAUCCAAGUCAAGCCUAGAAGCCACCCCAAGAUCGCAGGCCACCUGGCCUUUCAGGCAGAUUUAAGGCAUUGCAGAGCACCCUUCCAGAUUCUGAGGCGAUGUAGGGGAAUGAGGGCUCUAAGUGCAUUCGGUUGGGAAGACAACAUUCAGCUGAAUGAAUCAGUGUGUGCAACAGGUCCACCAGGAACUUCACUCAUAAGAUGGAUUCCAGAAGCAUCUUGUUUCCACUCUCCCCCAGCCCUCUUCCUCUCAUCUAGUCAGUGGCUGUGAGUAAUACCCAGCUGGAGAGAACAGUCAUUGUUUAAGUGGCUGUCUUUUGCCCUGAGGGUUUGGGGGUAUGUUGAUAUUUGUCGGUUACUAUGACUUCUUUUUUUUCCCCCCUCAAUUGCAUCAAACCCUUAAAACAUGGUGACGAUGAACCAGCUGGGCCAAUGAAAACCAACUCUACCAACAAUCACAAAGAUAAAAACUUGCGCCAGAGAAACACAAAUUAAGUACUACUUGUAACAUCCUUAGGUUCCUGAAACUGGUGGCAACAUGACCUGCUAAAUUUUCUGCUUGUACCUCUUUGGUUCUUUCCCUUUCAAGUGAGCAGCACCAUGAUGACUGUCUAAAGCAUGCCUUAUUUAGCCUCUCCUGUAAGGGUGACCUAGCCAGGUACAUUUUAAACAAUGCUUCAGUGUAGAAGGUGUAAACUAUUUUGGGCUUGAUGUGCUGUGAAUGUUGCUUUUUUUUUUCCCCCCUUUGGUAGAAUAUUUAAAUAGAAGUAAAAAGGUCCUCUGAGGAUCAGAUCAUGCAUGCACCGUUUUUUACUUAAUGCAGCUGUUAAAUUGGCAAAGCUCUAAAAUGCACUGCUGCCAUCUAGUGACACAUUUUUGUAAAGUACAGCAAAACCUACAGAUAUAUACAGUAUAUAAAUAUAUAUAUAUAUUUAUAUUUUUGGGGUGGGAGAAAUCCAAAAUAAAAUAAAUGCUUGUUUCAUUUUUAAGCUGCUGAUACUCAUUCCUUACUGUAUGUUGUCAGAUGAGGAAACUGUUCAGUUCUGGUACAUAAAGAUGAGUAAUAUAAACUGAAAUCUAUAAUUUUAAGGGCUUAACCUAUGACUUUGAUAAGAAGCUGGAACAGUCCACUGAAUGGAUGUAAUGAACUGCAGUAUAUAUGUAUGAUUGCUUUUUAAGUGAUUAUUUUUUUCUUUUGUUAAAUCAUGUAAAUUCUUAGAUCCUUUUGCACUGAUGUGUUGAACCUGAUUGUACAUUCAAUUAAGGCAAACUUUUAUAAUUUACCUUUUGUUUUCAAUGACCUUGAAAUGUUACAGCAUGGUAUUCUAUGCAACUAGUUAUACUUUGAGGUUGACACUGUAUUUUUUCAUUGAUUGAGUGUAGAUUUUCACACCCGGCAGGGUUCUCACACGGUGCGUAAUGGUAGAUGCAUGUACUUGUGUUUUGUGUAAUUGUUGAAGUGCAAUGAUGUAUAAAAAAGUGGAUUCACCUGUUUUUAAAAAUAAAACUGAUAAAAGGUGUUGGAAUAAUA